CGUACACUCCUGCGGGAGGCAGCAGUGGGGAAUAUUGCACAAUGGGCGCAAGCCUGAUGCAGCCAUGCCGCGUGUAUGAAGAAGGCCUUCGGGUUGUAAAGUACUUUCAGCGGGGAGGAAGGCGAUAAGGUUAAUAACCUUGUUGAUUGACGUUACCCGCAGAAGAAGCACCGGCUAACUCCGUGCCAGCAGCCGCGGUAAUACGGAGGGUGCAAGCGUUAAUCGGAAUUACUGGGCGUAAAGCGCACGCAGGCGGUCUGUCAAGUCGGAUGUGAAAUCCCCGGGCUCAACCUGGGAACUGCAUUCGAAACUGGCAGGCUAGAGUCUUGUAGAGGGGGGUAGAAUUCCAGGUGUAGCGGUGAAAUGCGUAGAGAUCUGGAGGAAUACCGGUGGCGAAGGCGGCCCCCUGGACAAAGACUGACGCUCAGGUGCGAAAGCGUGGGGAGCAAACAGGAUUAGAUACCCCAGUAGUCCCAUGAU
RNAcentral lists this ribosomal RNA (480 nucleotides) under uncultured organism. RNAcentral's name for it is "partial 16S ribosomal RNA". It matches the Rfam family "Bacterial small subunit ribosomal RNA", at positions 330 to 801 of the family's 1533-position model. The record is from RNAcentral.